This 847-nucleotide small RNA is filed under the name Pongo abelii (Sumatran orangutan). RNAcentral's name for it is "processed transcript". The record is from RNAcentral. Lineage: Eukaryota; Metazoa; Chordata; Mammalia; Primates; Hominidae.
AUGCGGGGCCAGGGCCGCAAGGAGAGUUUGUCCGAUUCCCGAGACCUGGACGGCUCCUACGAUCAGCUCACGGGCCACCCUCCAGGGCCCACUAAAAAAGCGCUGAAGCAGCGAUUCCUCAAGCUGCUGCCGUGCUGCGGGCCCCAAGCCCUGCCCUCAGUCAGUGAAAACAGCGUGGAGGAUGAAUUUGAAUUGUCCACCGUGUGUCACCGGCCUGAGGGACUGGAGCAGCUGCAGGAGCAAACCAAAUUCACGCGCAAGGAGUUGCAGGUCCUGUACCGGGGCUUCAAGAACAAGUCUUGCCUCCCAUCACAUGAGCCACGUGGAAUGUCCCAGCGGAAUUGUCAAUGAGGAGAACUUCAAGCAGAUUUACUCCCAGUUCUUUCCUCAAGGAGACUCCAGCACCUAUGCCACUUUCCUCUUCAAUGCCUUUGACACCAACCAUGAUGGCUCGGUCAGUUUUGAGGACUUUGUGGCUGGUUUGUCCGUGAUUCUUCGGGGAACUGUAGAUGACAGGCUUAAUUGGGCCUUCAACCUGUAUGACCUUAACAAGGACGGCUGCAUCACCAAGGAGGAAAUGCUUGACAUCAUGAAGUCCAUCUAUGACAUGAUGGGCAAGUACACGUACCCUGCACUCCGGGAGGAGGCCCCAAGGGAACACGUGGAGAGCUUCUUCCAGAAGAUGGACAGAAACAAGGAUGGUGUGGUGACCAUUGAGGAAUUCAUGGAGUCUUGUCAAAAGGAUGAGAACAUCAUGAGGUCCAUGCAGCUCUUUGACAAUGUCAUCUAGCCCCCAGGAGAGGGGGUCAGUGUUUCCUGGGGGGACCAUGCUCUAACCCUAGUCCAG